UCCGUAGGCGGGUAAUUAAGUCAGAGGUGAAAUCCCACAGCUUAACUGUGGAACUGCCUUAGAUACUGGUUAUCUUGAGUUUUAGUGAAGUAGAUAGAAUGUGUAGUGUAGCGGUGAAAUACAUAGAUAUUACACAGAAUACCGAUUGCGAAGGCAGUCUACUAACUAACAACUGACGCUAAUGGACGAAAGCGUGGGGAGCGAACAGGAUUAGAUACCCUGGUAGUCC
Molecule: ribosomal RNA, 229 nt
Filed under: uncultured bacterium
Lineage: Bacteria
Description: partial 16S ribosomal RNA
Rfam family: Bacterial small subunit ribosomal RNA
Source: RNAcentral